This 265-nucleotide ribosomal RNA is filed under the name Escherichia coli. Its description in RNAcentral is "partial 16S ribosomal RNA". It matches the Rfam family "Bacterial small subunit ribosomal RNA", at positions 1 to 262 of the family's 1533-position model. Lineage: Bacteria; Pseudomonadati; Pseudomonadota; Gammaproteobacteria; Enterobacterales; Enterobacteriaceae. The record is from RNAcentral.
AAAUUGAAGAGUUUGAUCAUGGCUCAGAUUGAACGCUGGCGGCAGGCCUAACACAUGCAAGUCGAACGGUAACAGGAAGAAGCUUGCUUCUUUGCUGACGAGUGGCGGACGGGUGAGUAAUGUCUGGGAAACUGCCUGAUGGAGGGGGAUAACUACUGGAAACGGUAGCUAAUACCGCAUAACGUCGCAAGACCAAAGAGGGGGACCUUCGGGCCUCUUGCCAUCGGAUGUGCCCAGAUGGGAUUAGCUUGUUGGUGGGGUAACG